RNAcentral lists this ribosomal RNA (503 nucleotides) under Mycoplasmoides gallisepticum. RNAcentral describes it as "bacterial LSU rRNA". It matches the Rfam family "Bacterial large subunit ribosomal RNA", at positions 1253 to 1756 of the family's 2925-position model. The record is from RNAcentral. Lineage: Bacteria; Bacillati; Mycoplasmatota; Mycoplasmoidales; Mycoplasmoidaceae.
AAGUCAAACCGUGAGGAUUGGUGGACUGUAUACAAGUGAGAAUGCCGGUGUAAGUAACGCUUGAGAGUGAGAAUCUCUCAAACCGAUUGACUAAGGUUUCCUGGACGAGGGUCGUCCUUCCAGGGUUAGUCUGGACCUAAGGCGAGGCAGAAAUGCGUAGUCGAUGGAAGAACAGGUUAAUAUUCCUGUACAAACAAAUAGCUGAUGGAGUGACGGAGAAGGUUAAUGCAUCCCCAUUAUCGGAUUUGGGGUUAAAUAAGAAGUCUUAAGGGUUGGCAAAUCCGCCCUUUUUAAGGACAACUUAUGAAUACGAGUGAACGCUUUGCAAGUAGCGAAGAUGCAUACAUCACGCUUCCAAGAAAAGCUUCUAGGGUUAACUAUUUGUUUCCAGUACCGAGAACGAACACACGUGGUCAAGGAGAAGAUCCUAAGGUUAGCGAGUGAACUAUAGCUAAGGAACUCUGCAAAUUCAUCCCGUAAGUUCGCAAGAAGGGAUGCUCAAU